Long non-coding RNA from Peromyscus eremicus (cactus mouse), 479 nucleotides. RefSeq lists it as uncharacterized. The record is from RefSeq and is a predicted model, not a curated record. The transcript is spliced from 3 exons. NCBI's taxonomy places the organism in Eukaryota, Metazoa, Chordata, Mammalia, Rodentia, Cricetidae.
AGUGCUUGUUGAGACUAACAGCUAAAUGACAGGCUUGGAAACUCUAUUUCUAGAAAUGCAUCCUGGAAAGAUGUCAGAGGAGGUGUCAUACAUUGAAAUAAUCACUGCUUCAUAUCUGUUCUAGUGUACUUUCUAUUGCUGUGAGAAGCACCAUGACCAAAACCAGAUUGGGAAGGAAGGAUUUACUUGGUUACAUAUUGUGGUUCAUCACUGAAAGAAGCCAAUGUAAGAACUGGAAGGCAGAACCAUAAAGGAAUUCUGCUUACAGAUUUGCUCCCUGGCCCAUGUUCAGCUAUCAGUCUUGUUCUUCCCAGGCUCACCUGCCCAGAGAUAGCACAGCUCACAGUGAGCUGGGCCCUCCUACAUCGAUUGGCAAUAAGAAAAUGCCUUAUAGACAUGCUACAGCCCAAUUAACAAAAUCAAUUCCUCUGUUGAGGUUUCCUCUUACCCUCAGUUGGUGGCUGAAGCUAAGUAUGACA